This is a non-coding RNA of Paramuricea clavata, 360 nucleotides long. Lineage: Eukaryota; Metazoa; Cnidaria; Anthozoa; Malacalcyonacea; Plexauridae. The record is from the annotation of a GenBank genome assembly.
AAACCAUGUCAUUGGCCGAAAUGCUAUGAAUAUCUAAUGAUGUAUGAGAACUGCAUUGAAAAGUCCUUGAAAAAACAGCACAUUACAUUGCAUAAAAUUAGAUUAUUACAUACCCAGAUAAGGGGCGGACCAUUAGAAAUCCCGGGAGGGGGGGUGAAAAUUCCAAAAAAAAAAUUCGUGCGAAGAAAAAUGCCUGGAAAAAAAAUUCGUGCAGCCAUUACGUCAGAGAAAAAAAAUUCGUGCAAGCAAACAGCAAAGUACAAAUAGUCUUGAAAAAAAAUUCGUGCAGAGGUUAAAUGCAUUAAAAAAAUUCCUGCAGAGACAUGAGACUGAAAAAAAAAUUCGUGCCGCAAAAAUUUU